CAAAUGUAAUUAUCUUUGUAUUCUGUUACAUCAAAAUCCAGAUAUUUUGUUGCAGUUUCUUUUUUUUUUUUUUGAGACCAGGUUGGUGCAGUGGUGCAGUCUCAGCUCACUGCAGCCUCAAACUCCUGGGCAGCUCAGGGACAGGGUCUCACUGUGUUGCCUAGGCUGAUCUCAAACUGCUGGGCUCAAGUGAUCGUUCCUCCUUGGCCUCCUGAAGUGCUGGAAUUAUAGGUGUGAACCACCAUGUCUGGCCUUAUUGUAGUUUAUUUCUAAGUUCAAAUUAAUGUUUGUGCUUUUCCUCCUUUUUUCUUAGCAGAUGGUUUGCUAGACAGAGUCUUGCCAUGCUGCCCAGGCUGGAGUGCAGUGAUGUGAUCUCGGCUCACUGCAGCCUCCACCUCCCGGGCUCCAGCAGUCCUCCCACCUCAACCUCCCUAAGAGCUGAGACUACAGUGCACAGCCAGAGAACAACACAUCACACACAAGAAACAGUUGUGCUCAUGUGAUGGGGGCCUCAGCACUAGGAAGGAGUGGACUGUUGGCGCACGCAGCAGCUUGAAUAAAUCUGAAAGUCACUACGCUGCGUAAGAGAAGCCAAAUAAAGCGCAUGCUGUGUACAGAGGGUGUCGAGAAUGUGUCCUACGUGACGGAAAGCAGAUCCGUGGUUCCCUGCAGACUGGCAGGAGCAGAU
Molecule: long non-coding RNA, 688 nt
Filed under: Pan troglodytes (chimpanzee)
Lineage: Eukaryota; Metazoa; Chordata; Mammalia; Primates; Hominidae
Description: lincRNA
Source: RNAcentral